UGAUAAAGAAAGGAAUUAAACCAAGGGGUGCAGGACUACAGCCUGCCGCCUAAUACUCGGCCACUCUACCU
This 71-nucleotide transfer RNA is filed under the name Anolis humilis (humble anole). RNAcentral describes it as "tRNA-Tyr". Lineage: Eukaryota; Metazoa; Chordata; Lepidosauria; Squamata; Anolidae. The record is from RNAcentral.